AGUCCGUUCCUCUCUGCCCUGCGCCGUCCCCAUCCUCUGUAGAAGGAGCACGGCUCUCGUCGAUGUGCCUGGUGGGGAUCCGGUGCAUCCCCUCUCCACUCGCCUCCUCCUCUCCUGGGUCCCUGCGUUGCCGGCUCAGCCGCUUCUCCUGCGUCUUCUCCUCCCCGCUUCUCUCCUCCUAGUCGAGUCCUGGACCGGAUCGGCGUCCGGCGCAGGAGGCUCGGGGUGGUCGCGGGUUCGGCGCCAUCUCCUUCCUUCCCGUACACUGGGAUCAAACAGCCCGCGGCCUGGCGGUGCCGGCCUGGAUCCGGAGGCAGAUGGACCAGAUCCUGGAGCUGGGCACGAAGGAGCUCGAGGUCGACGACUCCGGCUUCGUCCUCCUCCUCUGACGUCGCCACCUUGCUCAGGUCCAACACAUCUAUCCAUCGCCCCAGUUUUUACCAUUUCGUCGUGAUUACCAUCCCACGCCAUCCAUAGGGUGUGCCUUCUGCCCUUCUCACCACUCUGAACUCGGAGCAAGUGGAAAUUGGGUUGGGGAAGUUUUUCGAGCUCGAAAUUAAACCUAGUUCUAGAAUAGUAGAUGCUGGUGCUGAGAUGGUCGGUAGGCAGUCGCACUCAUAGGUCUCCAUUGCUUCAAAUCUAUUUGGUUUUAGGUGAUUUGGCACCCAAAACUCACAACACUGUUGCUACACAUCAGUUCAGGAAUCAAGGCAAAUAGCGGUAUUUCCCUUUGGGGUGAAUGGACGAACUGAUUAUGGGAAGACCAACCAAGUAGUUUAUACAAUACUCACAAUUUCUCACACUUCCAGCGAAUUAAACUGACGAUUAGAUGUGCCUUCUCUCAUUCGUACAUUGUUUGGGGGUUUGGUCUGAGAAGUGGGUUGCAGCACUCAUGAUUUUGCUUGUUUCAGGGAUGGAAUGAAUUGGGGGUCAGCAUCUAACACACACACACACACACACACAGCGCGCGCGCACACGCACGCACGCACGCACACGCACACGCACACACACACACACAGAGGGAGAGAGAGAGAGGAUAAUUCUGUUUAUUAUGUCAACCAUGUAGUAGAAACCAGAUAGAACUAAACAGCUAGGGUUUUGAAGUUGACUCGGUAGCUGAAUCAUGGUCCAUGAAUUUGUGUAAAACGACAAGUGUGCUACUGAAUUAAAAUUCUACCUGUUCAUUCCAUUGCCCAGUUACCAUCUGAAAGGUUCUAUUUUGCCACCGCAACUCUAAUUAGAUUGUUAUAGUUCAGACUAAGGGGAUCAAGAUUAGUCAUCUGUUAGCUAUGUACUAUGGACCUCAACACUAGCUGAGUAGCUACGUAGCUAAUCAUUGAUCUUGUCUUGGGUGAAAGGCUGGCGUUUGUUAAUUCAGAUACUGAAAGUUUUCUGUUCCCAUUUCCUGGAUUGCGGGUCCUGAUGCGCAAGAUUCUUCUGUUUGCUACGGGUCCUGGACGAUGGCAAGCAUUGACGUGCGUACGCCGUUGCAACAGCCACACCUCAACCCUCCCGACGCACGCAAUAAUCAGCGGUGCCAAAAUGAUUUGGUGUUUGCAAGGGUCGCUUUUGUUGCAUUUUCUACGUGAGAAACCAUCUCAGGCUAUUUGGAUGCACCUGCACAGUACUGAUAGUACAUGAAAUUCAUCAACCUGCUGUUGCCGCAACCAACCAAAAUUUGCUCUAACAGAGUGAUGAAUACAAUAUUCAUGCUAAGCUUUCUUCAAAUUAUGCUAAUUGAUCUUAAAAAGCUGGCUACUGGUGUUAUUUGCUGCAAUUUAUUUCUGACAGCCAGGUAGUCUUGGAAUGCUUUCGUGAUGCAAUUUAUUUCUGACAGACAAGCUAUGCUAAUUGAUCUUGAAAAGCUGGCUACUGGUGUUAUCUGCUUUGUGGAAGGCUGUUAGCAUUAAACUUUAGUGCUCGGCUGUCCAUCAUAGUCUCAUUCCCUAGAUAAUUAAUGAGGCAUGAAAAAUAGGUGAAAUUGCAGGAAAAUUGAAGAAACGGAGGAACACGAUUCAUUUUGUCAAUGGGAACAUCUACUGUUACAGAUACACUUUCUGUACUCUACCUAUCGAUGGCACAAUGUUUGAAUAUUAAGUCAUUUAAUUUUGUCAUUAGCAGGUUUAUUUAUGUUCAUACUCCACGUAUGCACGUGCUGCUCCAGUGGUGUUUUGUUAUUUGAUUGGCAUAAAUGGAUCUCUCCAUGUUUAUUGGUUGAUCUCCAACCCCUACUCUGCUGUGGUGCUGUGGGAGCAAGAAGAGCAUGCAUGCUUUCUCUCUACAUCUAGGGUCCAUACGGCCAGAUUGACGGGCCUAAACUCUGGCUCAAAGGUUUCUUUCAAGAAUCAAGAGAGAACAUUCAAGGAGUGGAUUGUUUGGAAAUUAAAACCUUCAGAUUUCUUAGAACUUCACUCGGAUUUAUGUGAAUAUAAGCGUAAGAGGUCUAGUGGCAAUGCUACAAAAUCAUUGCAGGCGUGAGUAUCCGGAUUGCACUACUGCUGGCCGUUUCUUGCGAUUGCGUACAACAGGCUUCUGACAAAGCCAAGUCAUGGCCUCAUUAGGCCCCUUUUUCCAGCCAAACUGAAAGCACUUCAUGUUAGCUUGUAUUCGCUUUUGGAUUAACUACAAUGCAUUGUACCCAUCCAUGCUCCAGGGAUAUAAUAACGUUGUAGAUAGACGGAGACUGAAUCAGUUCACACUACUUUGAUGUCUAUCGAGCCAAUGGGACAACAAAGAAAAGAAGAACCGGAAGCAGGUUAUCUAUCUUCACGAGCAAGUUGGCGUCUGUAAACCUUCACCGGAGCCAUUCCAGCUCUUUCAAAGCCACAAGGCAAGGAAGUUGAGGAACCAAGACCCCAACGGUGCGGAGCAGUUUGCCAUCGAGAGGACUAGGGCUACCAUAAGGGACCUGUAGACCAAGCUCAACAUCUCCCUCGUGCCUCCAUCAACACCGUGUCCUGGAGGGUCGUCACCGUCCGCGACGACGAGCUACUGCCGCAGCUUUGCCAGCCGCACGGUUAGAGGGAGGCAUCAAGGGCCUGCCACCGCUCCCGGGGCCGAUGUGCGUGUAAUUUCUAUUAAUGUAUCUUAUGUAGCCAAACAACAACAUGCUCCUGUCAAUGCUAUAUCAUUAUGGGCGUGGCAUUUUUCUUCCUCA
This is a long non-coding RNA of Triticum aestivum (bread wheat), 3157 nucleotides long. RefSeq lists it as uncharacterized. NCBI's taxonomy places the organism in Eukaryota, Viridiplantae, Streptophyta, Magnoliopsida, Poales, Poaceae. The transcript has 8 exons. The record is from RefSeq and is a predicted model, not a curated record.